UGAUGAUGAUGAGGGUAAUUUCUAAGAAGACCCUUAAAUCUUUCCCAAGCUUGGUAAAGGUUUUCAUCAUUUUUCUACCAGAAACACAGAAUCUCACUACUCAAACA
Non-coding RNA from Capsicum annuum, 107 nucleotides. The record is from Rfam. Lineage: Eukaryota; Viridiplantae; Streptophyta; Magnoliopsida; Solanales; Solanaceae.